ACAGACAAAUAUCAAUAUACUUCCUCCAUUCCUAGAUGUAAGUCUUUUAAAAAAUUUCAUUAAGAGACUACAUAUGAAACAAAAUGAGUGAAUCUAUACUCUAAAGUAUGUCUAUAUACAUUCUAAAGUAUGUCUAUAUACAUUUAUAUGUAGUCCUGUAAUGAACCCUCUAAAAAGACUUAUAUUCAGGAACGGAGGGAGUACAUGGGAAUCAUUUCUUUUUCUGAAACCUACAUAAGAUGAUACGAGCCAGUUAAGAUCUUAACCACAUCUCCAAAAGCUCGUCUAAAGGGUCGUCUAUGGCGUUUAGACGACGAAGGAGCAAAAACGGCUUUUCAACUACUCAUGUAUAUGGCCAUGUAAAUUUAUACAUCGUCUAAAUCGCGCUCGAGGACGUUCAGCCCUGGACAAUGUGAACCCGUCGUUCAUAGCCAACAGAACGCGAGGUUCCUCCUUCGCGCCGAGAGGAGGAAGAGGCGCGCGACGCCGUCAUGCCAUGCCACCGCCGAGAUGGAAGAUAAUGGGCGUUUUCUUGAGAUGUUAAACUUUGAUGUAUCAUCGCAAGUGCCAUAUAGUCCAGUUGGGGAGCAAGAAAUGCCAUCAACUCAAAAAACAUGUGCAUCUGUGAGAGCAAAAUCCACUAAAGGAUCGAAUUGGUCUACUAAAGAGGAUGAACUAUUGGUGAAAGCAUGGUUGCACACUAGUUUGGAUGCUGUGAUAGGGACAGAUCAAUCUGUAAAUUCUUAUUGGGAUAGGAUUUAUGAUUACUACAACAUGCGCAAGAAAGUGUCAUGGUCGGAUCGUGUUCAAAAUGCACUCAAUUGUUGUUGGAGCACUAUUAAUGAGCAAGUCAGCUAGUUAUGUGGA
Molecule: long non-coding RNA, 867 nt
Organism: Hordeum vulgare subsp. vulgare (domesticated barley)
Lineage: Eukaryota; Viridiplantae; Streptophyta; Magnoliopsida; Poales; Poaceae
Exons: 2
Source: RefSeq, a predicted model, not a curated record